RNAcentral lists this signal recognition particle RNA (293 nucleotides) under Aotus nancymaae (Ma's night monkey). RNAcentral's name for it is "Metazoan signal recognition particle RNA (ENSANAG00000001217.1)". It matches the Rfam family "Metazoan signal recognition particle RNA". From Rfam's summary of the family: The signal recognition particle (SRP) is a universally conserved ribonucleoprotein. It is involved in the co-translational targeting of proteins to membranes. The record is from Rfam by way of RNAcentral. Lineage: Eukaryota; Metazoa; Chordata; Mammalia; Primates; Aotidae.
GCCAGGCGUGGUGGCACAUGCCUGUAGUCCCAGCUACUCGGGAAGCUGAGGCUGGAGGAUCGCCUGAGCCCGGAGUUUUGGGCUGUAGUGCACUAUGCCGAUUUGGUGUCCGCACUAAGUUCGGCAUCAGUAUGGUGACAGUUCAGGAGCGGGGAACCACCAGGUUGCCUAAGGACCUCGUGAACCGGCCCAGGUUAGAAAUGGAGCAGGUCAAAACUCCCGUUGCUCAUCAGUAGUGGGACUGCACCUGUGAAUAGCCACUGCAGUGCAGUGUGGGCAACACAGCCACAAAU